Molecule: long non-coding RNA, 335 nt
Organism: Ornithodoros turicata
Lineage: Eukaryota; Metazoa; Arthropoda; Arachnida; Ixodida; Argasidae
Exons: 2
Source: RefSeq, a predicted model, not a curated record
CGCGCAUGCAUAGAUGCCGCGGCGCGGCGCCCCAGUCAGUUACUCGCUGGCUGUCGUGAAGACGUGUGCUCGGUUGCUCCGCAAUCCCCGUGCCCUCUCAGUUUCUGCCUGACUCUCGGAUGGAGCAGACGCACCCGUCGACGCGGGGGAAAAGAGCUAUGAUGGUGGCGCCAUCUGGUGUGAUGCCUUGCAAUUACUUGGCCACCUGUCAUCAAUCUCUGCAACUGCUGGGUGCCAACUACCAACAUGGCGGGCGCUGGUCACUCGGGUCUUCCGGAGCGGUUUCUUCGGGACGGCAUCGUUGAUUUUCGAAUAAAUUGUUUCUCUCCACUCUA